This 308-nucleotide ribosomal RNA is filed under the name uncultured bacterium. Its description in RNAcentral is "bacterial SSU rRNA". It matches the Rfam family "Bacterial small subunit ribosomal RNA", at positions 903 to 1223 of the family's 1533-position model. The record is from RNAcentral.
AAAGGGAAUUGACGGGGGCCCGCACAAGCAGCGGAGCGUGUGGUUCAAUUCGAAGAUACACGAAGAACCUUACCUGGGCUUGACAUGGUGGUAGUAGUGAAGCGAAAGUGGAACGAUCCUUCGGGAAGCCUCCACAGGUGCUGCAUGGCUGUCGUCAGCUCGUGCCGUGAGGUGUUGGGUUAAGUCCUGUAACGAGCGCAACCCUCGCUGCCAGUUAUACGUGUCUGGCGGGACUGCCGGUGACAAACCGGAGGAAGGUGGGGAUGACGUCAAGUCAGCAUGGCCUUUAUGUCCAGGGCUACACACAC